UGGAAGCAGCUCGUGGCCCACUUCUCAGC
RNAcentral lists this non-coding RNA (29 nucleotides) under Homo sapiens (human). The record is from RNAcentral. Lineage: Eukaryota; Metazoa; Chordata; Mammalia; Primates; Hominidae.